Poecilia latipinna (sailfin molly) is the source of this 1042-nucleotide long non-coding RNA. RefSeq lists it as uncharacterized. Lineage: Eukaryota; Metazoa; Chordata; Actinopteri; Cyprinodontiformes; Poeciliidae. The record is from RefSeq and is a predicted model, not a curated record. The transcript is spliced from 4 exons.
GUGGGGCCAUCAUGCUGGGUUAUCAUACUACUUUCUGUCUCUAUUUUUCCAUGGAGGCGCAAAUAAAGAUUAUUCUCCUCUAUUCACAUCCAAAAACUGAGAUUGUGCUCAAAAUAUGACUGGCAGUACGGCUGGACAAUAUGACUGAAAAACAUAUGUGUCAAAAUCGAUAUGUCAAUAUUCAUACUUUUCGAUUGGUUUUUUGUUUUACAUGUCCAAAAUACUGCCAAACUGACCUGUCCUGCUUUGUCCACAAUUUCCUCUUGAGCUGUUGUACUCAUUUUGUCCUUUCAGAAAAUGAGUCCUGGUGAAACACAGCCCCUUGUUUGCCUUUGCUUUGCUUCAUACAGAUGGUGUAGACUCUCUGCUAUUGAGAAACAAUUACAAUUACUUCCUGGAGGUGUGGGCUCUGUUGAAGUUACAAUCGUUUUGCCAUGACAUAUAUAAUGCACCAGUUCAAAGCAUCAGAAAUUGCCUGUGCUGUAAACAACCCUCCACUACCACUGCUAAAGCUACAGCCAGAAUACAGAGACAUGUUGUCAUCUUUCACAAUUUCUUCUGUUCACUGAUUGGCCCAGUAGAAAUUCUACUGAAGGAAUCCAAGUGAAUGAGAGAAAGCCCAAACUGUCUGUGAAGUGAGAAUUGAGCAGAAUGUGUUUUACAGGAAGGCAAAGGCCAGGCUAGAGGCACGGUGGCAAAACAACAAACUGCUGCUGCACAAAUUACUCAACAAGUUAUUGCUAGCUUACCAAUGAGUGAGCCAUUGACCAGCUAACGUCUUUCCUUUGCCUACAUCCCCCAGAAUGCAUUGUUCAUUGAAAUUAUUGGAAUAUUCUGUUGAAUGUAUUUUCUGUUGAUAUUGAGCAUGUGUUUGUUUAUCACCAUUUUUAAUGUUAAUGAUGCCCAGCCCAAGUCAAAGACAAACAGGACACUGUACAUUAACUGACACUGUGUCCUUACAACUUUUUACAACUAAUUUCUGUAAACAAACAUGAGCCUCUCUAAAUCCAAAGCAUUAGCUGUGAACCAACUUUUCUUUGGC